AGUUCAAUGUGAAUUUCCAGGAAACAACAAAUAAUAUUUUAGUAUAAGCUUGUCCCAUGCAGUAUUUGGGACAUACUUAUACUAAAAAAAAAAUUGUUGUUUGUUGGAAAUUCAAAUUGAACU
Molecule: microRNA precursor, 123 nt
Filed under: Tursiops truncatus (common bottlenose dolphin)
Lineage: Eukaryota; Metazoa; Chordata; Mammalia; Artiodactyla; Delphinidae
Description: miRNA (ENSTTRG00000024835.1)
Rfam family: mir-1302 microRNA precursor family (bases 36-87)
Source: RNAcentral